This is a transfer RNA of Brassica oleracea var. oleracea, 57 nucleotides long. It matches the Rfam family "tRNA", at positions 9 to 63 of the family's 71-position model. From Rfam's summary of the family: Transfer RNA (tRNA) molecules are approximately 80 nucleotides in length. Their secondary structure includes four short double-helical elements and three loops (D, anti-codon, and T loops). Lineage: Eukaryota; Viridiplantae; Streptophyta; Magnoliopsida; Brassicales; Brassicaceae. The record is from Rfam.
AACCCAAUGGAUAAGGCGUCUGACUUCUAAUCAGACGAUUGUGGGUUCGAGUUCCAC